Molecule: long non-coding RNA, 1062 nt
Filed under: Anser cygnoides (Swan goose)
Lineage: Eukaryota; Metazoa; Chordata; Aves; Anseriformes; Anatidae
Description: lncRNA (ENSACDG00005000604.1)
Source: RNAcentral
AUGUAUGUAUUGGUUAAUGUGCUCAGUCUGAAGGUACAAUUUAACCUCAGUUAUUGGGAGUCUCAGCCAGGACACUGCUGGCAUAGGGCACCUGAGACCUGCAGGAGUUUCGCCACCCUGGGGUCCCGCUGCCCUCUUGUCCUCCCAAAGCGGAUCAGCCCGAGGACUCUGCCUUCCCUUCCCCGCCGUGCCACGUCCCCCACCACCAUCAGCACCACCACCAGCACCCCUCUUCCUCUCCCCCUGCCGCGGCUCUUGCCGCUCCCCGACACGCCGAGCCACCCGCACCCCGAGCGGGGCUGCUGGUGGGCACCCCCAGACCCGGGGCAGGUGCCUGUGGGGCAACAGGUACUCCCCACCACCAGCACCACCAUCUCCAGCCGCUCUCCCCAGCACCCCCGAGGACCAGGGGGGACCCGAUGCGGUGCCGGGGGGAACCCCGGAGCCGGGAGGGGGUCGCGCCUCCCAGCCCCUGCUUACUUACUUGGGGCGGCGAGAGGCUCUUCUCCCGCAGCUGAGAGGGGCGAGCCGCGGGUGUCCCCGGUGCGGAGCUGCUGCUGCUGGUGGUGGUGCUACUGGUGGUGCUGGUGCCGCAGCGCGUCCCUUCGCUUCCCCACGGACGGGCUCUUCUUCUUCUUUUUCUUCUUAUUCUUCUCCUCCUCCUCCUCCUCCUCUUCCUCCUCCUCCUCCUCCUCCUCCCACGCCCCGCCGCUCUCUCCGGCCGGGGGAUUUCUUUGCGAGAUUUUUAUACCGGAGGCAGGGAACCUGAUCCUCCGCGCUUUGACUCGACAGAGCCCGGGCUGCGGCGAGCCGGCGAGAGGAGGGAGGCGAGGCGGGCGCCGGGGCAGAGCGAGCGGCCGCGCUGCCCCCUCGUGUGAUGCGGCGGGGGCGCCGGCGGGAGGGUCACCCGCGGGGCAGCCUCGCCCCCGCCGCCGGGGGAGGGAUGGAGGAAGGGGGCCGGGUGCGGGACGGGGCCGCUCCGCCCGAGGACGGGGCUCCGGGGGGCUCCCGGGGCGCCCCCCGCCGCCGGGGGUGCUGGAGGGGCGCGGGGCCCCCGGCUGA